Long non-coding RNA from Esox lucius (northern pike), 1630 nucleotides. NCBI's taxonomy places the organism in Eukaryota, Metazoa, Chordata, Actinopteri, Esociformes, Esocidae. The record is from Ensembl.
AAUCAAAGUGCAAGAAAUCAUAUAGCUCUUACUGAGGGAAGGAGGUUGUUUGCCAAGAUCUCAUGAUACAUGGCCCCAUCCAUCCUCCCCUCAAUACGGUGAAGUCGUCCAGUCCCCUUUGCAGAAAAGCAUCCCAGUAGAAUGAUGUUUCCAGAGGGGCCAAAGUUUUAGAAGAAACCUAGAGAGGAACCUGGCUUGGAGGGGUGACCAUUGCUUUUCUGUCUGUGCCGUGUGAACAUUUAAAGAGUAUAAGUUCAUUUUAAGAGUAUAAGAAUGUAAGUAGAGUGGCAGCAUGAAUCGGGUAUCAUUUAUCUGCAACAUAUCCAGAAGGACUUUGGCCAGUGUAAGCAACAACUCUAUAGAGCCUGGUUUUCGGGAGGUGGGGGCCAAGACCUCACGUCUUCCUAUGUUUGAACGGAGCAGGAGACAAGAACAUUUUGAGAGUCCACUCCUUAGGUUUACAGUGGAGAAGGACAACUGAAAAUGUAUUUAUUAUUAUAUCCUUAUUUAUUGAUUAUACUGUUUUAAGAUCUUUGUACUCUGUAUGCUUGAAGCGUCACAUGUAUUAAAAUACUUUCUGUUGAAGCAACUCAUGAUAUCUGUAUCUAUAUUCAGGGCCAGUAUUGAGUGGAAUGUCAGCUGUGCAGGGCCUGGGCUCCAAAACCAUCAGAACUGUCCAUGAAGGGAGAACUCUUAACAGCAGCAGGGGGUUCUUGUUACCUGUACUGUACAGGUGAAUGAGACCCUACCCCUUAUGGGGAGUGCCAAGUUAGCAGAAAACCCAUACAGUAACUGUCCAGGUUGAUAAAUGUCAUCUUUUGACUGGGUUGUCGGGGCAACCAACAUUCUAUGAUUAUAUAGGCCUCCUGGAGCCAUGUCUGUGUGCAACGUUGCAUUUCAUAGUCUACAUCGUGGCAAUCUUGUUGUUACACUCCCAGUGGAGUGCUGGAUUAGCAGGAAGUGGGGAGCUGUUUUGUAUUGUUAAUCAACAUUUAAAUAUAUUAUUGUACUUUAGAAAAGAAAAACAUGUCACUAAGUUCAAAUCAGUGUGUCUGGGUUUCCAGGUAGUAAGGGUGUUCAUAUCACAGUGGUACAGAACAGAGUCUGUCACAAAGCACUAUUCGCCUUAUUCACCUACGGCACUUCCUUUAAACCAAAACGAGGCUGUGGGGUACGGAAGUAACGUUGGCCCGCCCAUCUGUAGACUUCUGUCAUAACGUUACCUACAAUGCCGCCACAUUGUUGUGUUCCCAAACGUACGUCUUCAAAGAGAAAGAAAUCCUAUACAGGUCAAACCUUCCAUCGUUUCCCCAAAGAUCCUGUACUUGGCCGUGAAUGGAUUCAUAAAAUAAGAAGAGACCCCGGUCGCCAUUUCAAGUGGACUAUGUCGAAAAAUGGGCCAAUAAGGACUGCAUGAUUCCCCGGGCUGUUUUGCUUAGAGGAUACAGCAACUGGAUCGAGGGAUAUGUGCACGACGUGGAAGAUACCUUGGCCAGAGCAUAACCGAUUAUCUUCACCCAAGAGACCUACUGUUCGUCAAUCGUUUUGGUUUUAAAGGUAAAUACAUUGUUAGUCACAAUGUUUAGUUACUGGGCCAAAAGGAAAAUAAUAAUGAAAAGAGUUGAGAGGG